RNAcentral lists this unclassified non-coding RNA (1792 nucleotides) under Leishmania donovani. Its description in RNAcentral is "gene:LdHU3.26.3330(CDS-product:hypothetical_prote in_conserved)". Lineage: Eukaryota; Euglenozoa; Kinetoplastea; Trypanosomatida; Trypanosomatidae. The record is from RNAcentral.
AUCGACGCUCUCUCUCUCUUCCUCUUCUUCUGUCGCCGCUGCCACUCCUUCGAACGCUUUACCAACAACGACGACCGCGGCCACAGCACUGCUCUCCUCAUUCGCCGCUUUUUGCUUCACUUCCACCUCUCACCCUUUCCGAUUUCUUUCUCUUUCUCUCCUUCGUCCUCGUCGUCGUCAGCUGUCGUACACUCUCGUCAAGGCUCUACCACGCGCGCACGCACACAUCAUUGCACACGCGUGACGACCCCGUCUGCACUCAAAAAAAGCGCGAUAACACCCUGAAAGGGCGGCGUUCGGCUGUCGCGUGUUCUCUCCCGUGUACCCCCCCCCCCCCCCGCCAUUCGCGCACGUUGGCGGCAACUCGCCCGCUUCUCUUUUUUUCGCCAGUGAAAAUGGUUACGACCGUCAAGGUUGAGAUUCCGCGCGAGAGCAUUAUGAAGCCGUCGUACAUGGACGACGUCUACCUGCUCAACCAGUUUGACGGCGUCAAUGACAAUCCGCAGGAGGACGGUCUGCCACUGCGCAAGUGGAUCCUGCGCGAGGUCCACGAGGUGCUCGCGAAGAAUCCGAGGAAGACGGAGGUUGUCGUGAAGCUCAAGUCGGACAAGAGUGCCCGCACCGAGUUCGCUGUCGCGAUCAUCGGCGAUUACGUCCCCAACUACCUCCACCAGAGCUGAAAGGCCGCCGCCGGCUGUGGCGCAGCGGGAGAAAACGAACUGAUAAGGCGAAGGCCAAUCAAGACCUGAAAAGCUGUGAGUGCGUGCCUGUGUGUGUGAAAUGAGUGCCUGAGGAGCGGUGGCACUUCGCCACGAAGCUGCGCGCUUCCUCUUCAUAGCAUCACCCGCCGAAGGAAUUCGGUGUUGUGGCGAAGGCCCACUUUAGCACGACGGUGCGGUCUUUAUCUUGCCUUUGCAUGCGGGUGUGUGCCGGUGGUGAACACUGUCUGUAUGCCUUCUAGGGGCGGCUAUGGUAGUAGGUGGGCGCGUGGCGCACUCCCCGCGGCUGUGAGCGGAGAGCCAGGUGCGAGAGGGGCAUCGGGACAGGAAAAAGUCGGCGUCUGGAUGCGGCUAUCGCAGGGUGCUCUUCCUGCUUUCUCUCUUGCUUUCUCUUCCAAAGUCGCGCGUGUCGUUUUGUGCUCCUUACAGGGCACGAUGCGGCGAUACACGCGCGCAGUUCGCGUCUUUGGCUGCGCGGCAGCAUUUUAUGCUAUCCUGCUUCUCUUUUCUGUGCAUCCGUGCAUCUGUGAAGGCGGUGAGGGCUGCAGCCGAAGUCUUACACAGGUUUUGCUCUCAUUCCCUUUCUAAGUCCGAGCCCUUCCCACCUUUGCCUCGCUCCACCAUCAACGUUGCCUGCCGCGCGUGUGUGUCUGCUUCGCGUUUCUCUUCACCACUACUUUGCUAGCGUUCUGUCUGUCUUGCCAACGACGGUGGCUGCGCGCGUCUAUCUUUCUUUGUCUAGCUUGUUUUGUAUAUAUUUCUAGUUUCUCUGUGUAUGUGCGCGCUCAUGGAAGCCGGCGUGUGCUGAGACGUACAAGCACCACCAGCCCUGGUAGAAGCGCGACGGAGGUGUGCUCCUCUGCGAAUCUGGUGGUGGUGGGGGUGCAAGGACACACUUACGUGGCGCACGCCUCUUGGCGUUUCGGAUGCCACCGUGCUCGGAAAGGCGCAUCAGGCUCGCACCCACGCGCGUAUACGGAAGCUCACACGACAAACCUGUGCAUAUGGUCUUUCCGUUGACGCUAUUUUUCUCUUACUUUGUCAGUGCUUGUCAGCGCGCAAGGAUGCAGACG